Molecule: ribosomal RNA, 330 nt
Filed under: Triticum aestivum (bread wheat)
Lineage: Eukaryota; Viridiplantae; Streptophyta; Magnoliopsida; Poales; Poaceae
Description: partial small subunit ribosomal RNA
Source: RNAcentral
AUGGGAGUGGGAGAUGCUUCUGAUAAUCUGAUGCCAAAAAGAAAUGAAGAAAAUAAUGAUGUCUUUGUACAUACGGCCAUAAACCCCAAUGAUAGAGCGAGCAUGAACACUGAACAGGGAAAGCAAACAGUGCUCCGGCCUCCGGAUCCAGUCAGAAAACAAUCAAGGUAUCACGUUCCCAAAUCCUACCUCACCUGGUCAUUAUCAGUCCCUUUAAUCUUCUGGAUCAGGAGCAAGGUGUACUCCUCCCUGCCUUUUUAUUUGCCCUUAUCCUACUCCCCUUUUUUGAAAGGGGUUUUUGUUUUGGAAUUGGAAUUCUUAUCCGAAUAA